This 421-nucleotide ribosomal RNA is filed under the name uncultured bacterium. RNAcentral's name for it is "bacterial SSU rRNA". It matches the Rfam family "Bacterial small subunit ribosomal RNA", at positions 355 to 774 of the family's 1533-position model. The record is from RNAcentral.
UAAGGAAUAUUGGUCAAUGGACGCAAGUCUGAACCAGCCAUGCCGCGUGAAGGAUGAAGGUCCUCUGGAUUGUAAACUUCUUUUAUCUGGGACGAAAACGGGAUUUUUAUCUCAAUUGACGGUACCAGAGGAAUAAGCACCGGCUAACUCCGUGCCAGCAGCCGCGGUAAUACGGAGGGUGCGAGCGUUAUCCGGAUUUACUGGGUUUAAAGGGUGCGUAGGUGGGCUUAUAAGUCAGUGGUGAAAUCUCCGAGCUUAACUUGGAAACUGCCGUUGAUACUAUAGGUCUUGAAUUAUCUGGAGGUAAGCGGAAUAUGUCAUGUAGCGGUGAAAUGCUUAGAUAUGACAUAGAACACCAAUUGCGAAGGCAGCUUACUACAUAUAAGUUGACGCUGAGGCACGAAAGCGUGGGGAUCAAACA